This 539-nucleotide transfer RNA is filed under the name uncultured cyanobacterium. RNAcentral describes it as "partial 16S-23S ribosomal RNA intergenic spacer". The stretch from base 211 to 283 matches the Rfam family "tRNA". Lineage: Bacteria; Bacillati; Cyanobacteriota. The record is from RNAcentral.
CAGGGAGACAACAAAAUGUUUAAUAUUAUUAUUUUGUCACCUUAGGUCGAUCGGUAUCUCACGUUUUUAAUUUAUUAGGAAUUUCAUUUCCUAAGUUUUUCUAGGUCACACCCAUUUUUUUCCUGGGCCAUUAGCUCAGGUGGUUAGAGCGCACCCCUGAUAAGGGUGAGGUCCCUGGUUCAAGUCCAGGAUGGCCCAUACCUCUAUGUUGGGGGUAUAGCUCAGUUGGUAGAGCGCCUGCUUUGCAAGCAGGAUGUCAGCGGUUCGAGUCCGCUUACCUCCACUGAUUACCACCUCUACCAUAAUCUGUAGAAAGGAAAUGUUUUGAGUUGUGAUCAAAUUCUGAACGAAUCUAGCUUCCUAAUGAAAUCAUUAAGAUGCUGGACUCAUUGAAUUAAUUUCAUUGUUUUCAGAGAACCUUGACAACUGCAUAGAUUAUUUUUAAAGACAAUAAGCAUCUUUAUUGAUGCAGAUUUAUUAUUUGUGCGAAUGCAUUAAUAACAAUUCUAUUAAGCUGAUGCUUCAAUUUUGAAGUUAUU